AGAGUUUGAUCAUGGCUCAGAAUCAACGCUGGCGGCGCGCUUAACACAUGCAAGUCGAACGAGAAAGCCCCGCAAGGGGUGAGUAAAGUGGCGUACGGGUGAGUAACACGUGGGUAAUCUACCUUUUGGUGGGGAAUAACCCUGGGAAACCGGGGCUAAUACCGCAUAAGCUCGAAAGAGGAAAGGAGCAAUUCGCCGAAAGAGGAGCCCGCGGCUGAUUAGCUAGUUGGUGAGGUAAAAGCUCACCAAGGCUAUGAUCGGUAGCCGGCCUGAGAGGGCACACGGCCACACUGGCACUGAAACACGGGCCAGACUCCUACGGGAGGCAGCAGUGGGGAAUCUUGCACAAUGGGGGAAACCCUGAUGCAGCGACGCCGCGUGAGUGAUGAAGCCCUUCGGGGUGUAAAGCUCUUUCGGCAGGGACGAUAAUGCCGGUACCUGAAGAAGAAGCUGCGGCUAACUACGUGCCAGCAGCCGCGGUAAUACGUAGGCAGCGAGCGUUGUUCGGAGUUACUGGGCGUAAAGAGUGCGUAGGCGGUUUUCUAAGUUUGGUGUGAAAUCUCCCGGCUUAACUGGGAGGGUGCGCCGAAGACUGGAAGGCUAGAGUAUGGGAGAGGUAAGCGGAAUUCCUGGUGUAGCGGUGAAAUGCGUAGAUAUCAGGAGGAACACCUGCGGUGUAGACGGCUUACUGGACCAUAACUGACGCUGAGGCACGAAAGCGUGGGUACAAACAGGAUUAGAUACCCUAGUAGUCC
This 755-nucleotide ribosomal RNA is filed under the name uncultured bacterium. RNAcentral's name for it is "bacterial SSU rRNA". It matches the Rfam family "Bacterial small subunit ribosomal RNA", at positions 8 to 796 of the family's 1533-position model. The record is from RNAcentral.